GGGGCAUGCUCAGAGCAGAGGGCCUGAGGAAAUGGUUCUUUGGUUCACAACAGAGUCAACAGGAAUUUGGGGUCAUUGUGACAAGGAGAACAAAACCUGUGGCCUUACUAUGAAUAAGCACCCUACAUGU
This is a small nucleolar RNA of Myotis lucifugus (little brown bat), 130 nucleotides long. Ensembl annotates it as small nucleolar RNA SNORA11. Lineage: Eukaryota; Metazoa; Chordata; Mammalia; Chiroptera; Vespertilionidae. The record is from Ensembl.